GUGUUGCUGCUCCGUCCACACGCAGAAUCAUGUCAGGAAACGUCGGGAGAAAGCGCCAGAGUCCAAUUUGGGAUUACUUUGAAUAUGACUGUGUUUUGGAUAAAGCAAGUGUCUUGUAGUGGAAAGAGACAAAAUAUGAGGGACAUUUCUAAAGGGAAAAAAAUCCCACAAACCUUAAAGUGCACUUGAAAAGCUCACACAGAAGGCUAACCUAGCUUACCUUGAGAAGGGAGCACACUCAACCCUCAUCCCCAGAAACAGACGCUAACCCCAGGCAAGGCAGCGUGAUGCAUCCCGAGACAACAGGACGGGGAUAUCUACACAACUGUCUCUUCAGCAGGAUGUUCAGGCAAAACCUGGAGCAUACGUCACUCUUCAGUGAACAAACGAUUCUAUGAAAACUACCAACAUCCAUCUUUUCAUGGCCGAGUGAAGCUGAGGGACCCAGAGAUGAAGGAUGGAGACGUUUCUCUGAUUCUGAAGAACGUUGCGUUUAAUGACACUGGGAUGUAUGAGUGUCACAUAGCUGUGAGGAACCCUGUGAGAAGUAAAA
Long non-coding RNA from Astatotilapia calliptera (eastern happy), 553 nucleotides. The record is from Ensembl. Lineage: Eukaryota; Metazoa; Chordata; Actinopteri; Cichliformes; Cichlidae.